CUCAAAGAUUAAGCCAUGCAUGUGUAAGUCGAGUUGAUAUAAAGCGAAACUGCGAACGGCUCAUUACAACAGAUAUAAUCUACUUGUUCUAUUGAAUAAACGGAUAACUGCGGUAAUUCUGGAGCCAAUACGUGCACAAAGGCUCGUGUAGCAAUACGCGGGCCGCACUUAUCGGAGCAAAAUCAAUCUUGAUUGAAUGCUAACUCUGGAUAACCAAGCUUAUCGCAUGGCGCAAGCCGGCGAAGUAACAUUCGAGUAUCUGCCCUAUCAUCUAUCGUAGGUAGUGUAUUGGACUACCCAGGAUGUAACGGGUAACGGAGAAUCAGGGUUCGACUCCGGAGAGGGAGCCUUAGAAACGGCUACCAUCGCUAAGGCGAGCAGCAGGCGCGCAACUUAUCCACUGUCCACUCGGACGAGAUAGUGACGAGAAAUAACAAGCCCGUUCUCUUUGAGGUCGGGCAUUGGAAUGGACCGAACGUAAACGAUUCGGUGAGUACCCACGAGAGGGCAAGUCUGGUGCCAGCAGCCGCGGUAAUUCCAGCUCUCGUAAUGUAUAGAAUUAUUGUUGCGGUUAAAAAGUUCGUAGUUGGAUUUCAUACCGCUUCGCGGGUCGUGCCUAACGGUGCGCACUCGCGGCGGUGUUUCCACGCGGGCGGACUUGUUCGCCCACGUGGGGAUUACUUUGAACGGCUUAAGUGCUCAAGGCGAGUCUUCGGACUGAAUACCGGUGCAUGGAAUAAUGGAACAAGGUUUCGGCUGAGUUUUAUUGGUUUUGUCGGCUGAGACAAUGGUUAACAGGAACAGCUGGGGGCACUCGUAUCCCUGCGUGAGAGGUGAAAUUCGUGGACCGUUGGGAGACGCCCGAAAGCGAAGGCAUUUGCCAAGAGUGUUUUCAUUAAUCAAGAACGAAAGUCAGAGGUUCGAAGGCGAUUAGAUACCGCCCUAGUUCUGACCGUAAACGAUGCCAACUAUCAAUCCGCCAGCAGCCUCGUGUUGUUGGCGGGCGGAUCGACGGAAACGAAAGUGUUUCGGUUCCGGGGGAAGUAUGGUUGCAAAGCUGAAACUUAAAGGAAUUGACGGAAGGGCACCACCAGGAGUGGAGCUUGCGGCUUAAUUUGACUCAACACGGGAAACCUCACCCGGCCAGUACAUCAUAAGGAUUGACAGAUUGAAAGCUCUUUCAUGAUUUGAUGAAUGGUGGUGCAUGGCCGUUCUUAGUUCGUGGCGUGAGUCGUCUGCUUAAUUGCGAUAACGAGCGAGACUCCGACUGUUAAAUAGCCCUGUUUUUAUUGCAGAAAUAGCGGCUUCUUAACUGGAUUCGUAGCUUUAAGCUGCAAGAAAUGGAGCAAUAACAGGUCUGUGAUGCCCUUAGAUGUUCGGGGCCGCACGCGUGCUACAAUGAUGGUAACAGCGUGAUUGUCCUCGCCCGACAGGGCUUGGCAAACAGUUGAGAUAUUAUUAUGGCUGGAAUUGAGUGUUGAAAUUUUCUCUCAUGAACGAGGAAUUCCAAGUAAAUGCGAGUCAUCAACUCGCAUUGAUUACGUCCCUGCCCUUUGUACACACCGCCCGUCGCUACCCGGGACUGAGUUGUUUCGAGAAAUCCACCGACCAGUGUGCGAGCUUCGGCCCGUCACGCCGGGAAAUGGCUUAAUCGCAAUGGCUUGAACCGGGUAAAAGUCGUAACAAGGUAGC
RNAcentral lists this ribosomal RNA (1692 nucleotides) under Aphelenchoides sp. Asp3912. RNAcentral describes it as "SSU rRNA". It matches the Rfam family "Eukaryotic small subunit ribosomal RNA". The record is from RNAcentral. Lineage: Eukaryota; Metazoa; Nematoda; Chromadorea; Rhabditida; Aphelenchoididae.